RNAcentral lists this ribosomal RNA (239 nucleotides) under uncultured bacterium. Its description in RNAcentral is "partial 16S ribosomal RNA". It matches the Rfam family "Bacterial small subunit ribosomal RNA", at positions 95 to 334 of the family's 1533-position model. The record is from RNAcentral.
ACGGCGGACGGGUGAGUAACGCGUGGGUAACCUACCCUGUACACACGGAUAACAUACCGAAAGGUAUGCUAAUACGGGAUAAUAUAUUUGAGAGGCAUCUCUUAAAUAUCAAAGGUGAGCCAGUACAGGAUGGACCCGCGUCUGAUUAGCUAGUUGGUAAGGUAACGGCUUACCAAGGCGACGAUCAGUAGCCGACCUGAGAGGGUGAUCGGCCACAUUGGAACUGAGGCACGGUCCAA